Molecule: ribosomal RNA, 1406 nt
Filed under: Klebsiella pneumoniae
Lineage: Bacteria; Pseudomonadati; Pseudomonadota; Gammaproteobacteria; Enterobacterales; Enterobacteriaceae
Description: bacterial SSU rRNA
Rfam family: Bacterial small subunit ribosomal RNA
Source: RNAcentral
UGCAAGUCGAGCGGUAGCACAGAGAGCUUGCUCUCGGGUGACGAGCGGCGGACGGGUGAGUAAUGUCUGGGAAACUGCCUGAUGGAGGGGGAUAACUACUGGAAACGGUAGCUAAUACCGCAUAACGUCGCAAGACCAAAGUGGGGGACCUUCGGGCCUCAUGCCAUCAGAUGUGCCCAGAUGGGAUUAGCUGGUAGGUGGGGUAACGGCUCACCUAGGCGACGAUCCCUAGCUGGUCUGAGAGGAUGACCAGCCACACUGGAACUGAGACACGGUCCAGACUCCUACGGGAGGCAGCAGUGGGGAAUAUUGCACAAUGGGCGCAAGCCUGAUGCAGCCAUGCCGCGUGUGUGAAGAAGGCCUUCGGGUUGUAAAGCACUUUCAGCGGGGAGGAAGGCGAUAAGGUUAAUAACCUUGUCGAUUGACGUUACCCGCAGAAGAAGCACCGGCUAACUCCGUGCCAGCAGCCGCGGUAAUACGGAGGGUGCAAGCGUUAAUCGGAAUUACUGGGCGUAAAGCGCACGCAGGCGGUCUGUCAAGUCGGAUGUGAAAUCCCCGGGCUCAACCUGGGAACUGCAUUCGAAACUGGCAGGCUAGAGUCUUGUAGAGGGGGGGUAGAAUUCCAGGUGUAGCGGUGAAAUGCGUAGAGAUCUGGAGGAAUACCGGUGGCGAAGGCGGCCCCCUGGACAAAGACUGACGCUCAGGUGCGAAAGCGUGGGGAGCAAACAGGAUUAGAUACCCUGGUAGUCCACGCUGUAAACGAUGUCGAUUUGGAGGUUGUGCCCUUGAGGCGUGGCUUCCGGAGCUAACGCGUUAAAUCGACCGCCUGGGGAGUACGGCCGCAAGGUUAAAACUCAAAUGAAUUGACGGGGGCCCGCACAAGCGGUGGAGCAUGUGGUUUAAUUCGAUGCAACGCGAAGAACCUUACCUGGUCUUGACAUCCACAGAACUUUCCAGAGAUGGAUUGGUGCCUUCGGGAACUGUGAGACAGGUGCUGCAUGGCUGUCGUCAGCUCGUGUUGUGAAAUGUUGGGUUAAGUCCCGCAACGAGCGCAACCCUUAUCCUUUGUUGCCAGCGGUUAGGCCGGGAACUCAAAGGAGACUGCCAGUGAUAAACUGGAGGAAGGUGGGGAUGACGUCAAGUCAUCAUGGCCCUUACGACCAGGGCUACACACGUGCUACAAUGGCAUAUACAAAGAGAAGCGACCUCGCGAGAGCAAGCGGACCUCAUAAAGUAUGUCGUAGUCCGGAUUGGAGUCUGCAACUCGACUCCAUGAAGUCGGAAUCGCUAGUAAUCGUAGAUCAGAAUGCUACGGUGAAUACGUUCCCGGGCCUUGUACACACCGCCCGUCACACCAUGGGAGUGGGUUGCAAAAGAAGUAGGUAGCUUAACCUUCGGGAGGGCGC